Molecule: ribosomal RNA, 499 nt
Filed under: uncultured bacterium
Lineage: Bacteria
Description: partial 16S ribosomal RNA
Rfam family: Bacterial small subunit ribosomal RNA
Source: RNAcentral
GACGAACGCUGGCGGCGUGCUUAACACAUGCAAGUCGAACGGGCCUGUCUUCUUUUUUGGGGGUGGGUUGAGUGGCGAACGGGUGAGUAUCACGUGAGUAACCUGCCCUUCGGUCCUGGAUAACCGCUUGAAAGGGCGGCUAAUACGGGGUGGUCCGGUUGGUCCGCAUGGGCUGGUCGGGAUAGAUUCACUGUUUUUGGUGUUUCGGCGGGGGAUGGGCUCGCGGCCUAUCAGCUUGUUGGUGGGGUGAUGGCCGACCAAGGCGGUGACGGGUAGCCGGCCUGAGAGGGUCGGCGGCCACACUGGGACUGGGCUACGGCCCAGACUCCUGCGGGAGGCAGCAGUGGGGGGUAUUGCACAAUGGGCGGGAGCCUGAUGCCGCGACGUCGCGUGAGGGAUGGAGGCCUUCGGGUUGUGAACCUCUGUUUCCGGUGGUGAAGGCCCUGUCCGUGUGGUGGGGUUGACGGUAGCCGGGGAUGAAGCGCCGGCUAACUACGUG